GUGUCAGCAGCCGCGGUAAAACGUAGGUGGCGAGCGUUAUCCGGAUUUACUGGGCGUAAAGGGUGUGCAGGCGGGGCGGCAAGUGGUGUAUGAAAGGGUGGGGCUUAACCCCACGAAGCUAUGCCAGACUGCCGCGCUAGAGGACGAGAGAGGGGCAUGGAAUUCCGGGUGUAGUGGUGAAAUGCGUAGAGAUCCGGAGGAACCCCAGAGGCGAAGGCGGUGCCCUGGCUCGUACCUGACGCUCAUACACGACAGCAUGGGGAGCGAACGGGAUUAGAAACCCCGGUAGUCC
RNAcentral lists this ribosomal RNA (292 nucleotides) under uncultured bacterium. RNAcentral's name for it is "partial 16S ribosomal RNA". It matches the Rfam family "Bacterial small subunit ribosomal RNA", at positions 505 to 796 of the family's 1533-position model. The record is from RNAcentral.